Non-coding RNA from Acanthosepion pharaonis, 114 nucleotides. The record is from the annotation of a GenBank genome assembly. Lineage: Eukaryota; Metazoa; Mollusca; Cephalopoda; Sepiida; Sepiidae.
UACGGCCAGAUCGAUGAAAACACCAGUUCUAGUUCGAUCACCGGAGUUAAGCAUCGUAGAGCCAGGUCAGUACUUAUUUGAUGGGGUACGCUUGGGGAAACCUUGUACUGUAAG